ACGUACGCACGCCCUGGCUGCUAGGAACGCUAUUCUCUUUACCUGGCCCUGAUGCGCGCCAGCCAACCAGGCCAAGGCCAGGGGACCUCGAGACCGGCAGCCUCGACGAAGAACCGGAAGGAGGAAGAGGAACGGGAAGGAGGAAGAUCUCCCGCAUUGACUUCAUAACCAAGUUCUGGGUCCCUGCCACUGGAGUGCCUGAUGAGACAAAACGGCUCCUCGUCCUGCAUCCCCGCUGCUACUUCCAGAAUUCAGGCCUCGUGGCCUGGAGCCUGCACUGUUCCAUGAGCCCCCUGACCAACCUGGAGGCCUCUGUCUUUCUUCCCUCGGUGAGAUGCGCCUACUUCUCCCUGGAGAAGCUCGAGGAAGCAGAAAUGCUGGAGAUGAG
This 388-nucleotide non-coding RNA is filed under the name Pan troglodytes (chimpanzee). Lineage: Eukaryota; Metazoa; Chordata; Mammalia; Primates; Hominidae. The record is from RNAcentral.